Molecule: ribosomal RNA, 783 nt
Filed under: uncultured bacterium
Lineage: Bacteria
Description: bacterial SSU rRNA
Rfam family: Bacterial small subunit ribosomal RNA
Source: RNAcentral
AGAGUUUGAUCCUGGCUCAGAAUGAACGCUGGCGGCGUGCCUAACACAUGCAAGUCGAGCGGACGUAGCAAUACGUUAGCGGCGGACGGGUGAGGAAUGCAUCGGAACGUGCCGUGUAGUGGGGGAUAACACAGCGAAAGUUGUGCUAAUACCGCAUACGCCCUGAGGGGGAAAGUGGGGGACCGCAAGGCCUCACGCUAUAUGAGCGGCCGAUGCCCGAUUAGCUAGUUGGUGAGGUAAUGGCUCACCAAGGCGACGAUCUGUAGCGGGUCUGAGAGGAUGAUCCGCCACACUGGAACUGAGACACGGUCCAGACUCCUACGGGAGGCAGCAGUGGGGAAUUUUGGACAAUGGGCGCAAGCCUGAUCCAGCCAUGCCGCGUGAGUGAAGAAGGCCUUCGGGUUGUAAAGCUCUUUCAGCCGGGAAGAAAACGCAUGGGUUAAUACCCUGUGUGGAUGACGGUACCGGAAUAAGAAGCACCGGCUAACUACGUGCCAGCAGCCGCGGUAAUACGUAGGGUGCGAGCGUUAAUCGGAAUUACUGGGCGUAAAGCGUGCGCAGGCGGUUUGGUAAGACAGGCGUGAAAUCCCCGGGCUUAACCUGGGAACUGCGUUUGUGACUGCCAGGCUAGAGUACGGCAGAGGGGGGUGGAAUUCCACGUGUAGCAGUGAAAUGCGUAGAGAUGUGGAGGAACACCAAUGGCGAAGGCAGCCCCCUGGGUCGAUACUGACGCUCAUGCACGAAAGCGUGGGGAGCAAACAGGAUUAGAUACCCUGGUAGUCC